RNAcentral lists this long non-coding RNA (403 nucleotides) under Mus spretus (western wild mouse). RNAcentral's name for it is "predicted gene 15611 (ENSMSPG00010005016.1)". Lineage: Eukaryota; Metazoa; Chordata; Mammalia; Rodentia; Muridae. The record is from RNAcentral.
ACAUUCAGAUUCUACACAAUCUCAUGUGUUGGUCUGUCUGUCACCCUCCAACGCUUUGUCCAUCUGCCCCAGAGACCCGUUCCACGCAGACAAAGGGACCUAGAGGGUCUGCGGCAGUCUGUAAAAGUCUUCCUUUAAAUUUGGUAGUGUAUGGAGAAAGAGCUACACUGAAUGGACUCUAGCCAGCCCGAGCAUGUCACGCAUGGCUCUGGUUCUACUGAUUUUUUUCAGUCCCGAGGUUUUCUUUUUAUGAGAAGCCAAGAUCUUCAUGGAGACACCGUUUCUGCUUAACAAAACCAGGAAGAAGAGAAACUUGCAGCAGGGCUUGAAUGUAGCUCAGUGUUAAAGACCCUGCAUAAAGGCCUGGUUUGGUGAGAUUACCAAACUCACAAAAACAGUGAAG